RNAcentral lists this ribosomal RNA (497 nucleotides) under uncultured bacterium. RNAcentral's name for it is "partial 16S ribosomal RNA". It matches the Rfam family "Bacterial small subunit ribosomal RNA", at positions 28 to 507 of the family's 1533-position model. The record is from RNAcentral.
GAUGAACGCUGGCGGCGUGCCUAAUACAUGCAAGUCGAGCGAACGGACGAGAAGCUUGCUUCUCUGAUGUUAGCGGCGGACGGGUGAGUAACACGUGGAUAACCUACCUAUAAGACUGGGAUAACUUCGGGAAACCGGAGCUAAUACCGGAUAAUAUUUUGAACCGCAUGGUUCAAAAGUGAAAGACGGUCUUGCUGUCACUUAUAGAUGGAUCCGCGCUGCAUUAGCUAGUUGGUAAGGUAACGGCUUACCAAGGCAACGAUGCAUAGCCGACCUGAGAGGGUGAUCGGCCACACUGGAACUGAGACACGGUCCAGACUCCUACGGGAGGCAGCAGUAGGGAAUCUUCCGCAAUGGGCGAAAGCAUGACGGAGCAACGCCGCGUGAGUGAUGAAGGUCUUCGGGUCGUAAAACUCUGUUAUUAGGGAAGAACAUAUGUGUAAGUAACUGUGCACAUCUUGACGGUACCUAAUCAGAAAGCCACGGCUAACUACGUG